UAAUCAGCUGCGAGCGGUUCACCUUUGAGGAUGAACUACCAGCGGCGGCUGUGCUCGACAUCCUUCCUCUCUGACGAUUGCGGAGGCCACGGCAACAAAGACGAUGGCGCCGGUGCCGGAGGGAUGACCCCGGAGGCAAGGUAUACUCCCCUCUCUCGUACGUCGAGUGCUCCCCCUUUCUCUCUUGAUGCGGUGGCGACCAGGGGGCAAAUUGGGCAGUGUAAAGGUACGGCGCGAGCUCGGCGACGGCAAUGACUUCUCCGGCGUCCCUCUCCACGUCUGGUGGUUUGCUCGCAUGGAACGGGGCAAAGAAAGAGGUAGAAGACCAAGAAAGGAGAUGAAAGAAAAGAGGGGAGCUUGCAUACUGAAUGGGAUGACGGAGUAGAACUUCGCUCGAAUGUGGGAUCAAUUCGGAGAUCAUACAUGAGGAGAAGAAGAGGAGGAGCUCAACGCUGCAGCAGAGAAAUAACACUAGAGUAUCGCCUUAGAUCCAGCCUUUGGUGAUAGCGCUGUUUCUAGAUUUUCUUCUCUGUUUGGAUGAACUGUUCCUUCUUUCUUCUUUGGAGCUCCACUGCUUAAAAUUAAAAAAAGGAACCAUGUUCAGUUGUUUUCACUUGGAGUGAAGUAGGGAUGCUUCUACUAUAUCAGGAGGGUCAUCCCAUCAUUGCGAAUCUGCUCUGUUGCAAAAGAUGAAACACAUGGAAACCAGAAAGCGUAAAGCACAAGAAAAUGUGAAAAAACAACCCGCACACAGCGAGCAACGAAGAAUCACGCCCCCAAAAUAAGCACAAAUCAUUCAAGCACAAGUAACUGUGAUAUUAAUGCCCAGUGUCACUGACUCCCUGGUAAGGAGUAUAACGUUUUGUUAGGUUUUGAGUGGGUCAAACCACUUCCAUCGGAGCUGAUCAUACCUCUGAAUAGACCAAAAUUUAAACCUUUUGAUUCAAUGAUCUUGCUAAAGGACACAAAUGUGUCUUUUUUUUAAAAUGUUGACUCGUCCUGAACACUACUAGUGAGGCCUCAGAACUCUCCAGUUGCAGACCUGAACACUAUGAGACAUGGUAGCAACUAGCAACACGAAAGAUGCCGAAUCAGGUUUUCCUUUUUCAAUUCAUGGAAGCACUAACCUUCUGUGAAAGCACUGCAUACACCUGCAGUACACUAACCUUUUUAGGUUUGCUUCUCGGAUUUUUACACUGAGCUUAAGGAAAAUGAUGAAUGGUUAAGCACCUAUUUAUUUCUAGCUUUGAUCUGUUUGGUUCUUGAUACACACUGAAGAGAAAGAUAUAGCUGGACGGCGCCUAUUUUAUGUUGAUGUAAACAAGUGACGUAAUCUACGUCACAUGCAAGUUUGGAAAAUGUAUUAGUUGGACAUGCUCCUAUUUUUUGUUGGCCCCAUAUAUAUUACCUUGUCUCUAAUAAUUCUUACAUUAUCUAGCGAACUUGGGCUGGCUCCAUACUGUACACUAGAUUUUUGUACGUGGCUGGUUGGAAACAUCAUGUUGGUGGACACUGACCAUCUCCCAGUUCGUCAAUAUUCAUGAAAGCUGAGUUAGAUUUAUUUUAAUUACCAUGAGUUGGACCCUGAUCCUCAUCCAGCCUGUCAAACUUUGCUGUUUUAUUUUUGUUUAACCCGCCCUCAAUCCAGGAUUAAUCUUCUAUUCUAUAAUAGGAAUUUUUUUAUUUUUUAUUCAGGUUGUUGCUUUCUUUUCUGUAGCAUAAACCAGAUGGGAAUGUACUAUUUUUGGCGAGUAAUCAUAUGAUUCUAGCUAGGCUCCAUGAACUGAAUUUUUCCUUAGCCAUGAAUACUGUAAAGAAGAUCCACACAAUCAUUUUGGCUUUAGAUUCUUAUAUACUGGAAAAUGUUGACUUUGUUCACAUUUAACCUAUUUUCCUAUCUUACAGAGCAAGCCAUUAUGCUUGGCGGUUUUGGCAUUUGCCUUACCAUUAUAUGUAUCUUACCAAUUAUGUGUUUCAUUUUGAUGACUCUUUCAUGACAGACAAUGUCUUAAAUGGUUACAAGACAUAGACUAGUUCAGUAUGAUGACUCCCGGUAUUGUAUCUGCCACAGUUUAAUAAAAGACACGGUUAGUGUGCAUUGAAAGUUUGAAACAACAGUUAUAGUGUUUGGCCUUUUAUCUUAUUUCUCUCUAUUUUUGAUUCAGACCGUGCAGCCAGCGUGUUAUGGGUUCAUGUGAUUCUGAUGAAUUUAGUCAUCCAAAUCACUCCGCUAACUUUCAUUUCAACCUUGUUUCCAGUUUAGAGUACCAAAGGUUGUUUAAUCCUUUUAAGUGUUAUAUGUGCUUGUGAGUUGGUGGCCUCUACCUGUUCAUUGGUAUACUUCUGAGAACUAAAAAUAUUCUGUUUUUCAGGUAUCUGUUCAAGCGGACGACGUUUAAUGUAUGAGGGAUAGAGAGAAAUGUCUUUGUAUUUAUGGUGGGCAGAGUAAUAUUGAACAAAAUUCAGGCCUUCUUUUACUAAUACCCAGAAGCUAAAUUCAGGUUUUGGUGAGAAGAAAAGUGAACCUAAAGGCUACAGUACUAUUAAUAGGAUACUAUGUUGGUUACAGCCCAUGGAUAAUAGUGUUUCAGUCACUAGACAGAUUGCUGAACAGAUGAAGUUGAUGUAAAAUCUCUGGUCACCUGCCAAUUAAGCCUUGAAGAUCAAGUUCAACAUUAGUCACUUUUCAAGUUUGGUAGUAUUCAGUUUGCAAUAGUGAUUUCUGAAUUUUCAGGCUGCUGGUAACUUAGUGCUAAGUGGCAUUCAAUUGUGUCAAGAUGAAUUUGAUUUGUAAUUGCAAGGAUAGUUUUUGUUACGUGAGGUAUUUCUCGGAACCACUAUGUAUUAGAUCACUUUGUUAUUCCACAGUUACCAAAAA
This is a non-coding RNA of Triticum urartu, 2878 nucleotides long. The record is from RefSeq and is a predicted model, not a curated record. NCBI's taxonomy places the organism in Eukaryota, Viridiplantae, Streptophyta, Magnoliopsida, Poales, Poaceae.